This 250-nucleotide ribosomal RNA is filed under the name uncultured bacterium. Its description in RNAcentral is "partial small subunit ribosomal RNA". It matches the Rfam family "Bacterial small subunit ribosomal RNA", at positions 26 to 284 of the family's 1533-position model. The record is from RNAcentral.
AGGACGAACGCUGGCGGCGUGCUUAACACAUGCAAGUCGAGCGGAAAGGCCCUUCGGGGUACUCGAGCGGCGAACGGGUGAGUAACACGUGAGUAAUCUGCCCCUAGCUCUGGGAUAGCUCCGGGAAAACCGGGAUUAAUACCGGAUACGACCACCUUAGACAUCUUUUGUGGUGGAAAGAAUUUCGGCUAGGGAUGAGCUCGCGGCCUAUCAGCUUGUGGUGGGUAACGCUACCAAGGCGACGACGGGU